CUCACUUUCGGCCAGGCACAGCAGCUCACGCCUGUAAUCCCAGCAGUUUGGGAGACCGAGGAGGGCGGAUCAUGAGGUCAGGAGAUCGAGACCAGCCUGGCCAACACAGAGGAACCCCAUCUCUACUAAAUAUACAAAAAUGAGCUGGGCAUGGUGCGUGCACCUGUAAUCUCAGCUACUCGUGAGGCUGAGGCAGGAGAAUCACUUAAACCCAGGAGGUGGAGGCUGCAGUGAGCCGAGAUCUCACCACUGCACUCUAGCCUGGGUGACAGACUGAGACUCUUGUCUCAAAAAAAACACUUUAAGUGGCUAAUGCAGCACAAGCUCUUUUGAAACACUUUCGAUUUUCUUCGUGCCUCUAAGGCCAUUCUUUGGAUUUGAAUAGGUGAGCAUGUUUCUCACAAGAAGGGAAAUAAUUAACCAAACUGUUAGUUUAUUAAGCUUAACCUUGCUGGCUCUGCAUGGCUGCUGAAAGCUGGGGAGAUGCCAGACCUGUGUCCUCCUGGCUGGCUCUAGCGGGGUCACUACAGGAGGAGGAGCCUUGGAAUCCAGCAUAAGUGGCUUCAGGAGACUGUGGUGUCCCUCGGACAGCAAGAGCCCUCCCUAGCCUUCAGCCACAGCUGGACUCCCUGGCUGUGGGAGUCUCACAAAACCCAAGAGCCUUAGACCUCCCUCCGGCCCGGCAAGGAGGAGCUGGCUUCCAGUUAAAGGACGGAUGUUGUUUUUGCAUCAGCCGGUCUGGUUUAGUACAAGAAAAUAUUGAGAAUACAAGCGCCCAGGCAAACACAGUUGGGUCUUCGGGAACUCCCACAGAAACCUGGCAACGCCGGGUGCUGUCUGUGCCACUUCCUUUGCAGUUCCAUGUUCCUAUGAUACUCGUGCAAGGGUUUCUGCCAGUUUGGAAUAAAAUCCAAAAUUGGGCCAAAAUAUCCAACUGUUGUGACUGGAUCAAGCCUACUGCACUUUCUACAAGCAAGUACCACCUUUUACAAGCUGCACCCAUGGAGACUCACCUAACUGCCUAGGGACAGAGAGCCAGGACCCGCAGUAGGCAGGGACAACGCCCAUGGCUGGCAGAAAACUGAUGAGGCCGAGGCAGGUGGAUCACCUGAGAUCGGGAGAAACCCCGUCUCUACUAAAAAUAUAAAAUUAGCUGGGCAUGGUGGCAGGUGCCUGUAAUCCCAGCUAUUUGGGAGGCUGAGGCAGGAUAACUGCUUGAACCCAGGAGGUGGAUGGUGCAGUGAGCUAGAUCUUCAGCUCUUCAGAUCUUUGCUGGUCUCAAACUCCAGACCUCAGAUGAGCCACCCGUCUCGGCCUCGCAAAGCACUGGGAUUACAGGCGUGACACUGCGCCCG
RNAcentral lists this long non-coding RNA (1355 nucleotides) under Callithrix jacchus (white-tufted-ear marmoset). Its description in RNAcentral is "lncRNA (ENSCJAG00000077826.1)". The record is from RNAcentral. Lineage: Eukaryota; Metazoa; Chordata; Mammalia; Primates; Cebidae.